This 465-nucleotide ribosomal RNA is filed under the name uncultured bacterium. RNAcentral's name for it is "partial 16S ribosomal RNA". It matches the Rfam family "Bacterial small subunit ribosomal RNA", at positions 28 to 507 of the family's 1533-position model. The record is from RNAcentral.
GACGAACGCUGGCGGUGUGCUUAACACAUGCAAGUCGAACGGUAAGGCCCUUUCGGGGGUCCACGAGUGGCGCACGGGUGAGUAACACGUGAGUAACCUGCCCUCAUCUCUGGGAUAACAGUCGGAAACGGUUGCUAAUACUGGAUAUGAGCUUGCAAGGCAUCUUGUGGGUUGGAAAGAUUUUUUGGUUGGGGGUGGACUCGCGGCCUAUCAGCUUGUUGGUGGGGGAGUGGCUCACCAAGGCUUCGACGGGGAGCCGGCCUGAGAGGGCGACCGGCCACAUUGGGACUGAGAUACGGCCCAAACGCCUACGGGAGGCAGCAGUGGGGAAUAUUGCACAAGGGACGGAAGUCUGAUGCAGCAACGCCGCGGGCGGGAUGACGGCCUUCGGGUUGGAAACCGCGUUCAAUUGUGACGAAGCUUUUUGUGACGGUAGCAGUAGAAGAAGCACCGGCUAACUACGUG